AAAAUCUCUAGAAUCCAUAAAUUUAUUUCUGAAGUUGACAACACUGUUGUGCUUUCGGGAGUAGCAUGGGAUGCGUGUAGUGCAGAACCGUGAUUGUGACAGAUGGUGCGUGAAAGACCAAAAUAACCUCGCGGAGAUGACAGAGAUUUUCCAUCAUUGCCAACAUUCUCCCCUAGUUUUUUAUGGAUUUUGGCUCCUUACCACUAUUUAUUUACUAUUUGAUACGCGUACCAAGUGCUCGGUGUAAACUAGGCAUAUGGGUCUGUUCGCGUCACAUGCUCCGACAUACUCCUAUUCACCCCAACGCACUCCAAUACGUUGAUUCCGAUGACGCCAACCUAUUAGAAUGCGUUGGAGUGAGUAGGAUCAUGUCGGGGCAUGGCGACGCGAACAAACCUUAUGUUACCUAGUCACGUGACCAUCCGCCAUGUUUUGGAUUGUAAGAAAGCGCGUUAUUCGAAGAUAUAAAACAAAAAAAGA
This is a long non-coding RNA of Monomorium pharaonis (pharaoh ant), 480 nucleotides long. RefSeq lists it as uncharacterized. NCBI's taxonomy places the organism in Eukaryota, Metazoa, Arthropoda, Insecta, Hymenoptera, Formicidae. The record is from RefSeq and is a predicted model, not a curated record. The transcript is spliced from 2 exons.